RNAcentral lists this ribosomal RNA (524 nucleotides) under uncultured bacterium. Its description in RNAcentral is "partial 16S ribosomal RNA". It matches the Rfam family "Bacterial small subunit ribosomal RNA", at positions 28 to 523 of the family's 1533-position model. The record is from RNAcentral.
GACGAACGCUGGCGGCGUGCUUAACACAUGCAAGUCGAACGAGACGAUUGAAAGCUUGCUUUCGAAAGUCGAGUGGCAAACGGGUGAGUAACGCGUAGACAACCUGCCUUUGAGAUGGGGACAACAGUUCGAAAGGACUGCUAAUACCGAAUGUUGUAUAUUUUCCACAUGGAAGAUAUAUUAAAGGUGGCCUCUAUUUAUAAGCUAUCGCUCAAAGAUGGGUCUGCGUCUGAUUAGCUGGUUGGUGGGGUAACGGCCUACCAAGGCGACGAUCAGUAGCCGGGCUGAGAGGAUGAACGGCCACAUUGGGACUGAAACACGGCCCAGACUCCUACGGGAGGCAGCAGUGGGGAAUCUUCCACAAUGGACGAAAGUCUGAUGGAGCAACGCCGCGUGAGUGAAGAAGGGUUUCGGCUCGUAAAGCUCUGUUGUCGGGGACGAAUGUGCAGUAUUUGAAUAAAGUACUGUAAUGACGGUACCUGACGAGGAAGCCACGGCUAACUACGUGCCAGCCGCCGCGGUAA